GAUGAACGCUGGCGGCGUGCCUAAUACAUGCAAGUCGAGCGAAGCGGGGACGGGUGAGUAACACGUGGAUAACCUCCUAUAAGACUGGGAUAAAUUCGGGAAACCGGAGCUAAACCGGAUACUUAUACAUGGAUCCGCGCCGCAUUAGCUAGUGGGUAUGGUAACGGCUUACCAAGGCCACGAUGCGUCGCCGACCUGAGAGGGUGAUCGGCCACACUGUAACUGAGACACGGUCCAGACUCCUACGGGAGGCAGCAGUAGGGAAUAUUCCACAAUGGGCGAAAGCUUGACGGAGCAACGCCGCGUGAGUGAUGAAGGCCUUCGGAUCGUAAAACUCUGUUAUUAGGGAAGCGGUACCUGAACAGAAAGCACCGGCUAACUACGUGCCAGCAGCCGCGGUAAUAC
This 405-nucleotide ribosomal RNA is filed under the name uncultured bacterium. RNAcentral's name for it is "partial 16S ribosomal RNA". It matches the Rfam family "Bacterial small subunit ribosomal RNA", at positions 28 to 526 of the family's 1533-position model. The record is from RNAcentral.